CAGCCCCUGGCCGCGCGCUGGCGCAGCCGCUGCUGGCAGCUGGAGCGGGAGCGCGCCCCCUCCCCCAGCCGCGCCAUGGGUGACGCGUUCCGGAGGGCGGAGUCGGGCACUCAGCUACUUGCACGACUUGAGGGCAGAAGUUCUCUGAAGAAUCUUGAACCUUACCUGUUCACUGAGGAGGGAUCUCCUGGUCAUGGAGAUGUCAUUGAAUUCCACGGUCCAGAAGGAACAGGAAAAACAGAAAUGCUUUAUCACCUAGUAGCCCGCUGCAUCACUCCAAAAUCAGGAGGAGGACUGGAGGUGGAAGUCAUGUUCAUCGACACAGAUUACCAUUUCGAUAUGCUUCGUCUGGUCACCAUUCUUGAGCACAGGUUGGCUCAGCCAACGGAAGAAAUGAUAAAGCGGUGCCUGGGGAGGCUCUUUCUUGUGAACUGCAAUAGCAGCACUCAGUUACUCCUCACUCUCUACUCUUUAGAAAACAUGUUUUGCUCUCACCCCUCUCUCUGCCUUUUGAUUUUAGAUAGCAUAUCAGCUUUUUACUGGAUAGACAGAAGCAAUGGAGGGGAGAGUCUUAACUUGCAGGAGAUGAAUCUGAAGAAAUGUGCCAACUUCCUUGGAAAGCUUGUGAGAGAGCAUCACUUAUCCCUCUUUGCAACAACACAGACACUGAUGCAGAAAUCUACAAACCCCGCAGAAAGAUUUUUUCCUUUAAAACUUCAGCACGAAACUGAUACCGACUAUAGACCUUAUCUUUGUAAAUCAUGGCAACAAAUGGUGACCCACAGGAUAUUUUUCUCUAAGCAAUGUAAUUCUGGCAACAGCAAAGCUUUUACAGUCAUUUCUUGCCACCUCAAAAGAAACCACAUAGUAAAACGUUCAUUUAGUGUUGCAGAAUGUGGAGUUCAGUUUUAACUUCAAUUUGUUUUUAAAAUGUGUGGCAAAUCCUGAUGCUUAAGGCCUGGUUAGCUCCAAGUAGUUUUUAGUACCUUUUAAACCCUUCGGUUGUUGUUGGCUGAUUAAGAAUUUUUGUUAUUAUUUUUGUUAAAAUUUAGUGAAGGGCAGAAAAUGGUAGAAGCUUUUAGACUGCUGUAGAUGUUCAGUCCAAACUAGCAUGGAAUGUUGAAAUUACUUGCUUGUGCUAAUGCAUAAAGAGAUUAAAUCAAUAAAAUUUUUAACCAAAGGCAUUUCAAACUCCUAGUAGCCUUCAGUAAUCCAACCAAUGCGAUCUGCAGCCAAAUGCACUGAAUUAAUGUCUGGGUCUUACUCCUUCACACACCUCCUCUUCCAAGCUACAGAAAUAGGAGCCUCGUUGUCUGGAGGGGAGACUGCAAAAAGGUGUGGUUCAACAAAACAGCAGUCACUGCUGCUGGAGGCAGGCAGGGCUCAACUGCCUGGGGCCUGCCAGAGAGCACCCAUGACCUGCUGCUCAGCCUCCCAGAGGCACUGCUGGCUGCUGAGUGCUCAGUGAAGAUUUCAUCCCCUACCACAGCAAGGGAGUGAGACCCUCCUGGACUCAGAAGGAUUUAGCAGAGAGGGAACUCAGCAGGAGCAGUGGAAUAACAUUCUACCUGGAUGUGCUCAUUCCCGGGCGGGUGCCAAACUCCUGCAAGGGCUGCCUGGC
Dryobates pubescens (Downy woodpecker) is the source of this 1621-nucleotide RNA transcript. It is a transcript of the gene named X-ray repair cross complementing 2, with no coding region annotated. The transcript has 5 exons. NCBI's taxonomy places the organism in Eukaryota, Metazoa, Chordata, Aves, Piciformes, Picidae. The record is from RefSeq and is a predicted model, not a curated record.